RNAcentral lists this ribosomal RNA (676 nucleotides) under uncultured bacterium. RNAcentral's name for it is "bacterial SSU rRNA". It matches the Rfam family "Bacterial small subunit ribosomal RNA", at positions 835 to 1515 of the family's 1533-position model. The record is from RNAcentral.
UUGACUUGGUAACGCAGCUAACGCGUGAAGUAGACCGCCUGGGGAGUACGGUCGCAAGAUUAAAACUCAAAGGAAUUGACGGGGACCCGCACAAGCGGUGGAUGAUGUGGAUUAAUUCGAUGCAACGCGAAAAACCUUACCUACCCUUGACAUGGACGAAAUCCCGGAGAGAUUUGGGAGUGCUCGAAAGAGAAUCGUUACACAGGUGCUGCAUGGCUGUCGUCAGCUCGUGUCGUGAGAUGUUGGGUUAAGUCCCGCAACGAGCGCAACCCUUGUCAUUAGUUGCUACGAAAGGGCACUCUAAUGAGACUGCCGGUGACAAACCGGAGGAAGGUGGGGAUGACGUCAAGUCCUCAUGGCCCUUAUGGGUAGGGCUUCACACGUCAUACAAUGGUACAUACAGAGCGCCGCCAACCCGCGAGGGGGAGCUAAUCGCAGAAAGUGUAUCGUAGUCCGGAUUGUAGUCUGCAACUCGACUGCAUGAAGUUGGAAUCGCUAGUAAUCGCGGAUCAGCAUGUCGCGGUGAAUACGUUCCCGGGUCUUGUACACACCGCCCGUCACACCAUGGGAGCGGGUUUUACCAGAAGUAGGUAGCUUAACCGUAAGGAGGGCGCUUACCACGGUAGGAUUCGUGACUGGGGUGAAGUCGUAACAAGGUAGCCGUAUCGGAAGGUGC